This 468-nucleotide ribosomal RNA is filed under the name uncultured bacterium. RNAcentral describes it as "partial 16S ribosomal RNA". It matches the Rfam family "Bacterial small subunit ribosomal RNA", at positions 28 to 507 of the family's 1533-position model. The record is from RNAcentral.
GACGAACGCUGGCGGCGUGCUUAACACAUGCAAGUCGAACGGAAAGGCCCCGCUUUUGUGGGGUGCUCGAGUGGCGAACGGGUGAGUAACACGUGAGUAACCUGCCCUUGACUUUGGGAUAACUUCAGGAAACUGGGGCUAAUACCGGAUAGGAGCUCUUGCUGCAUGGUGGGGGUUGGAAAGUUUCGGCGGUUGGGGAUGGACUCGCGGCUUAUCAGCUUGUUGGUGGGGUAGUGGCUUACCAAGGCUUUGACGGGUAGCCGGCCUGAGAGGGUGACCGGCCACAUUGGGACUGAGAUACGGCCCAGACUCCUACGGGAGGCAGCAGUGGGGAAUAUUGCACAAUGGGCGGAAGCCUGAUGCAGCAACGCCGCGUGCGGGAUGACGGCCUUCGGGUUGUAAACCGCUUUCGCCUGUGACGAAGCGUGAGUGACGGUAAUGGGUAAAGAAGCACCGGCUAACUACGUG